CUAACUAAGGUACUUAAAGCGAUACACAAGGACAUACAGAAUUUAUAACGUGUGACGUUGGCGUGUGGACUAGAGAAAUGGGCGUGUCAAUAGCUGUUGAAUGUCAUUCGACUGAUGACUGUCAACGGCACCGAGUUCUUACUGCAAGCUCCAGACACUGAGACUGGAGAUAGUUGGGCUGAGGUGAUCGGUGAUACGAUACGACAGCUGGAGCAAGACAAAACAAUUGCGAAUCCAAUGGUUGCUGAAUGUGACAUUCGUUCAACUUCCAGGCCAUUGCUUGAUGCUCAUAAUAGUGAACUGAUAGCCGCCAUGCAAUACCCUGAUGCCGGUGUUCCACUCGGCAAGCACAAGAAUGGAGUGAAAACAUACAAAGACUGUUUUGCUGGUGUGUUGUGUGUCUUAUCCUCAUCUAAGUUUACUUGCAUAAAAAUUUUGUUUGUUGCAUGUGAAAGUUGUGAGUUAAUUGAGUGGUUGUUGUCGUGGUCGUUUGUCACAAUGAGGGAGGAAGGAUGUCAAUUAGCAAACAGUCUCUUGAAUAAAGCGUAUCUACAGCCGGUGGGAGGGUUGAAUAAAGAGUCGUUCAAGAAGCAUUCGCAUUCGAGAAGUUGGCGUUUGUGGAUGGUGUAGGAGCUUUUUAUAGAUUUUCUGCUCUCACACCAUCCAAGCCAGUAGAACAGUGUUUCAGUACAUUGUCAAGAAAUGCAGAAUUGACCAGUUCAGAGACAGACUCGCGUUCUGAAUGUGGCAUGCAGACACAGUGUGGCACUUCAACAGUCGGAAAAGAAAAUAUUUUUACUUACUUACUUAAUUAAUUAAUUAAUUAUGUGUGUGAGACAUGUGCAGAUGGGUCAGUCAGGUGGAAAAAUUGUGGAAACAACAAGGCAAGGAUUCUCAAUGAAAAAGGGACAUCGGAUACACAACUGGAAAGCGAGAAAGUCUAUUGCCCAAUUAAGGGUGCAUGUGGUUUGCUGUAUUAUCAAGGAUCUAAGGUUUAUGGCAGUUGAUCAGAGCAAAUGAAAGAAAUUGGAGACUAUUUGUUCUCACUCGAAAUGGCAACAGCUCAAUACAAAAUUGUAUCUGCCGGUGAUCCCAGUUAUGCAAGAGUUCUUGCUGAUUGAUUGUUCUAUACUACAGACGUGUUGUGACAUUCGUGAGAGUUUGGUUUUGUGGAAGACUCUGGCAGUAGCCGAUGGAGACAACCAACCUGUGGAGUGGCUAUCAAUCCAGCCAGUAGACCUCGACGUGAUCAUUCCCGACUUCAUCGAAUACAGAAAGAAAUGCAAUUGUGAUGACUUGAUGAAAGGCAAUUUGUGUUGCAAAACUCUGACACAUCAGAGUGGAUCAAUGACGUUCUGUAUUGCCUGUUGUGGAUGGAGACUUGAACUUGACAAGUUGGACAACAGAGUUGUUGCUGUACACUACAAGAGUGCACGUGUCAGUCCACGUAUGCAGCUGUUCCAUGAUGUUGUGUCAUUAAGACUUGUCCAUGCGUUCUCGGCGCUAUACGAGUAGCUAUUAGGUACAGCAUCAUGUAACUUGCACUGGCGGUAUGUGUGGCUAUCAUUACACAGGAGCUUGUUGGUUGAUCUUACUCAAAUAGGGUGUAAAGCCUUAGGGGGGUGUGGUGUGUGUGUGUGUGUGUGUGUGUGUGUGUGUGUGUGUGUGUGUGUGUGUGUGUGCGGUGUGUGUGUGUUGUAAGUAUACUUACUGUCGACACUAGACCAGAAUGGAUCGCGAUCCGAUCGCGAAUUAUAUGAUGAGAGAUCUAGCAAGUGGCUUCCUCUUCCACUCAUGACACACAAACUGUGGUUACAUGCUGCAUUCUCAACUCAGAAUGGAGAACUCAUCACAGCGGGAGGGUUGGAUGAAGAACUCGAAACCAUCAUGUCAAUAGAAAGUCUGAAAUGUCCAUAACAUUUUGUGUUAACAAAUUACCUUAUUUUUAGUUUGUGUGUAUUUGACAUUUUGUUACGUUUAUCCAACUGUAUGUUGAUGGAAGAUACUAUGCAAGUGUAAGAGCAUCUAAUGAUACCAUAUUAUAUUAUUAUAUCACA
Molecule: long non-coding RNA, 2057 nt
Organism: Corticium candelabrum
Lineage: Eukaryota; Metazoa; Porifera; Homoscleromorpha; Homosclerophorida; Plakinidae
Exons: 8
Source: RefSeq, a predicted model, not a curated record